RNAcentral lists this ribosomal RNA (524 nucleotides) under Clostridioides difficile. RNAcentral's name for it is "bacterial SSU rRNA". It matches the Rfam family "Bacterial small subunit ribosomal RNA", at positions 262 to 804 of the family's 1533-position model. Lineage: Bacteria; Bacillati; Bacillota; Clostridia; Peptostreptococcales; Peptostreptococcaceae. The record is from RNAcentral.
GGCUUACCAAGGCGACGAUCAGUAGCCGACCUGAGAGGGUGAUCGGCCACAUUGGAACUGAGACACGGUCCAAACUCCUACGGGAGGCAGCAGUGGGGAAUAUUGCACAAUGGGCGAAAGCCUGAUGCAGCAACGCCGCGUGAGUGAUGAAGGCCUUCGGGUCGUAAAACUCUGUCCUCAAGGAAGAUAAUGACGGUACUUGAGGAGGAAGCCCCGGCUAACUACGUGCCAGCAGCCGCGGUAAUACGUAGGGGGCUAGCGUUAUCCGGAUUUACUGGGCGUAAAGGGUGCGUAGGCGGUCUUUCAAGUCAGGAGUGAAAGGCUACGGCUCAACCGUAGUAAGCUCUUGAAACUGGGAGACUUGAGUGCAGGAGAGGAGAGUGGAAUUCCUAGUGUGGCGGUGAAAUGCGUAGAUAUUAGGAGGAACACCAGUUGCGAAGGCGGCUCUCUGGACUGUAACUGACGCUGAGGCACGAAAGCGUGGGGAGCAAACAGGAUUAGAUACCCUGGUAGUCCACGCUGUA